AUUGAACGCUGGCGGCAGGCCUAACACAUGCAAGUCGAGCGGAUGAAGGGAGCUUGCUCCUGGAUUCAGCGGCGGACGGGUGAGUAAUGCCUAGGAAUCUGCCUGGUAGUGGGGGAUAACGUCCGGAAACGGGCGCUAAUACCGCAUACGUCCUGAGGGAGAAAGUGGGGGAUCUUCGGACCUCACGCUAUCAGAUGAGCCUAGGUCGGAUUAGCUAGUUGGUGGGGUAAAGGCCUACCAAGGCGACGAUCCGUAACUGGUCUGAGAGGAUGAUCAGUCACACUGGAACUGAGACACGGUCCAGACUCCUACGGGAGGCAGCAGUGGGGAAUAUUGGACAAUGGGCGAAAGCCUGAUCCAGCCAUGCCGCGUGUGUGAAGAAGGUUUUCGGAUUGUAAAGCACUUUAAGUUGGGAGGAAGGGCAGUAAGUUAAUACCUUGCUGUUUUGACGUUACCAACAGAAUAAGCGCCGGCUAACUUCGUG
This 484-nucleotide ribosomal RNA is filed under the name uncultured bacterium. RNAcentral's name for it is "partial 16S ribosomal RNA". It matches the Rfam family "Bacterial small subunit ribosomal RNA", at positions 30 to 507 of the family's 1533-position model. The record is from RNAcentral.